This is a long non-coding RNA of Lotus japonicus, 1129 nucleotides long. RefSeq lists it as uncharacterized. Lineage: Eukaryota; Viridiplantae; Streptophyta; Magnoliopsida; Fabales; Fabaceae. The transcript is spliced from 2 exons. The record is from RefSeq and is a predicted model, not a curated record.
AGUUAGAGGAUAAGAUGCGGGAGUCACAUCCCGACUUAUUUGUAAACCCUUAAGUUUCGAGGGCGAAACUAUUUUAAGGGGGGUGGUAUUGUAAGGCCCUAAGUUCAAUUUGGAACAAUUUUAUGAAAGUUUGAAUAAAAUUGGGGUUUUAGCUAAUGUUUGAUAACUGGCAGAUUAGAACUGUCAACUUGUGCGAAUUUUUAGAGGGUCUUAACGACUUCAUUUGGUAAAACUUCCUUCAUGAUAGUUGUAGCCCUUUAAGUCUAGAAAAUUCUCCAAGUGAUUUCGCGUCAAUCCGACCUCUGUAGCUUAAGAUAUUUUCGUUUUAGUGACUGUCGUUAAGGCUGUACAGUACCAGCGAGUAAAUUAGUUUGUUUCCUUCUAAUUCCGAAUUGGAUUAUGAAAUUACUUAAGAGGGCUUAAGUUUUUAAUUAGAUUCAGGUCUGAUUAAGUUAUUGGGUCAAGGGUUUGACUUGGAGCGGGCUCAAGAGAAAAGAAAAGAAACCCAAACCCAUGAUGAGGGGGAGCCCGCGGUUGUAUUAGGGUUCUGAAGGGGGGAAAAAUUUCUUUUCCUUUCAGUUCUGAAACAGAAACCCUUGCACUCCUUACGUAAAGAAAACAGAAGAGAAAAGAGUGAGAGAACCACCCCUUGAACCCUUAUCCGCCGCCGACCAAACCACCACCGCAACCCGUGACGCCGCGCGAGUGAGAGAGCCUUGCGAGAGGGAGAGGAUUCGCGUGGAGGAGGAGAAGAGGGACGUGGACAGCAAGCAACUGAGUUCUGAACCUACAUCUUUUCUCUUUUUCAGACCAAGAACCCAAGAUGGUCGUGAAGAUAAUGACGAGGACUCAUUCUUGGGAGUUGAUGCUACGUGGCGAGCCACUACCGGAUGACGACUACACUUCUGAUGAAGAGGAAGAAGAUAAAGAGGAAGAAGCCAAGGAUAUGGUUGGGUUGUGAGACAUCCAUUUUUCUUUUGGGUUGAGAGUACCGAGUUUUGGAAGUAUUGAACCAUUACUUUAUUUUAGUUGAGAUAGUUUAACUUGAUGUAAUUUACUUUGAAGUUUUCUUCCGGAUAAUUAUUUCAUACUCUUUUCAAUGAUUAAUAAAGUUUGAGGUUUACGUUGA